UCCGCCAUCGUGGUGUGUUCUUGCCUCCACUUCUCGCCAUGUCUUCUCACAAGACUUGCAGGAUUAAGCGAUUCCUGGCCAAGAAACAAAAGCAAAAUCGUCCCAUUCCCCAGUGGAUUCGGAUGAAAACUGGAAAUAAAAUAAGGUACAACUCCAAAAGGAGACAUUGGAGAAGAACCAAGCUGGGUCUAUAAGGAAUUGCAC
This is an RNA transcript of Rhinopithecus roxellana (golden snub-nosed monkey), 204 nucleotides long. It is a transcript of the gene named 60S ribosomal protein L39 pseudogene, with no coding region annotated. NCBI's taxonomy places the organism in Eukaryota, Metazoa, Chordata, Mammalia, Primates, Cercopithecidae. The transcript has a single exon. The record is from RefSeq and is a predicted model, not a curated record.